Molecule: ribosomal RNA, 446 nt
Filed under: uncultured bacterium
Lineage: Bacteria
Description: partial 16S ribosomal RNA
Rfam family: Bacterial small subunit ribosomal RNA
Source: RNAcentral
CCUACGGGAGACAGCAGUCGAGAAUCAUUCACAAUGGGGGAAACCCUGAUGGUGCGACGCCGCGUGGGGGAAUGAAGGUCUUCGGAUUGUAAACCCCUGUCAUGUGGGAGCAAAUUAAAAAGAUAGUACCACAAGAGGAAGAGACGGCUAACUCUGUGCCAGCAGCCGCGGUAAUACAGAGGUCUCAAGCGUUGUUCGGAAUCACUGGGCGUAAGGCGUGCGUAGGCUGUUUCGUAAGUCGUGUGUGAAAGGCGCGGGCUCAACCCGCGGACGGCACAUGAUACUGCGAGACUAGAGUAAUGGAGGGGGAACCGGAAUUCUCGGUGUAGCAGUGAAAUGCGUAGAUAUCGAGAGGAACACUCGUGGCGAAGGCGGGUUCCUGGACAUUAACUGACGCUGAGGCACGAAGGCCAGGGGAGCGAAAGGGAUUAGAUACCCGGGUAGUC